Musa acuminata AAA Group (dessert banana) is the source of this 1306-nucleotide long non-coding RNA. RefSeq lists it as uncharacterized. The record is from RefSeq and is a predicted model, not a curated record. Lineage: Eukaryota; Viridiplantae; Streptophyta; Magnoliopsida; Zingiberales; Musaceae. The transcript has 4 exons.
AGCUCGUGUUCUUGCUCAUAGGUUAUCGCUUCGAAGCAAAGGAUGUUUGGCCAUUGUCAUCCUUGGGCAAUUUUUUUCACCUUCUUCUUCACUCCCUUGUCUUCUGUUCUCUGAAAAAGACCUACUGUCCCCUAAAACAUGUAUUAUCAUUAUCAUCAUCAUUAACAACAAGAAGAAUGUGAAAAAGUUUCAUGUACAUGUCCCCUUUGAGUCUUUUUAGGUGAUCCAUUCCUUUAUGCUCCUGGAUCACGGUGCCUCUACCAAGGCAUGCCUGUGAGUUCUCUCACCUCAGCUUCUCCCUCACUCAUUCCCUUUCCUUCAUGUGGAGUUGGUUCAGGUGUCUGUGUGUGUGAUCACUCAUGCUUUUUGUCAAAAUAGACUAUACACAUGAUGGUUCUGUGCCGUGCUUGCAAUUACACCUUGUCGUUGCUCAGGAACAGAGUACUGCUUGUCAUGAGAAGCUUGGAGAUCCGAGGUAGCCAAAUGCAGAUGCUGUUGAUUGCACUUGGACUUGCAUCAGCCGGAACAAACUUCUUUUCCUUGGAGCACCAUUGCAAUCAAGUCUUCGAGCUCAGGAAACCGGCAGCCGUCUAUUCUAGUGUGGUAGUUGCAGCUUCUUCACAGUUUGGAACUUUCUCCAUCAUAGCAAGGCACUGCUCUUGACAGUGAAAUUUUGUGGAAGCUACUUGGAGUUUAAAUUGAUUGUGGCUCGUGCUGGCAUCAGAAAUAAGGGGCCAACUGCCAUGAAUGGCUUUGGAGAGACACCAAAGCCAAGGAGUUGAGAGUCCAUCAGAACUAGCUUGUGACAGGGAUGUCUCUUGGAAGGACUCAGGAUCAUCAUCCAUGAGUGCCAUCACGUUUGGAUUAGCUGCCACUGCAGUACUAGUAUCUAUGUUUCUUGUCAUGGCAAUCUUUGAACAUCUAAUCAUACCAAGGGUGUCCUUCUUUCGGUCGCGGAGCAAUGCACGAGGAUCCUCGGAAACCGGCCAGCUGCCUGUGCAGACUCACCUGCAGGAGAAGAUUCAGGAUUCAGUAGCAGUUGGAGCUCAGCACACAUCUGAUCUGUCUGUGCUAAUGCCGGGACAAGAUUAUCCUACCUUCAUUGCUCAACCUGCUCCUCUUCCUUGCCAAAGAGAGGGCAUGCACUGGCCUUCACAUGGUCCUGAUGUAUCCUACAAUUAAAUGAUGUCAUCUGGUGCAAUUCCAUUGGAGAGAGAUACUGAAAAUGGCUCUGAGAUACUGCAAUUCCAUAAAGCAAAAUUAUUUAUAUCUUCAGCAAAUGGCUCUGAGAUUAUUAUGUAAGAAA